GCUCUUUCUCUCCAUAAAAGUUGUCCCAGGUCAAAGGCUUUUGCUGUUGUAUCUUAUUUCAUUUGGUAUUUGUGAAUUGUAGUUCCCGAGUGUGGUAGCCAUUGUUGCCUUAGUUUAUUUCUCUGUAUUAUCGUUGUUUUCCAGGCAGAAGUCUGAGUAAGGAGGGCAAGCAGCUCUUUGUGUAGGGAGCUACAAAGUGUUUUGCCAUGAAGCUGUUUUUCCAGUCUACUGUAAGUAGCCCAUCUCUGCCCUAUGCUCAGACUAUGUGCUCCUCAACCUUGGGUCCCAAGUCUCCCUAUUGAGAGCUUGCACUAUGCUCAUGGCAUAAUCCUUGGAACAUCAGCUAUAAAACUGAGACAGAGGGGUGGAGUCAAGAUGGUGGCUUAGAAGCAGCAGAAGUUCAGACUUCUGAAAACCCUUCCUUACUGAUCACAAACUGAAUGCUCCUGGGAGACUGAAAAUCAAACCUAACAACAGGACAGAGCCAAGGAACCCUCCUGCUGGACUCAGUCCAAAAGGUAUGCCCCCCCCAAAAGGCAGAAUCCAAGAACACUUGGGUUUAAGAGGAAGGCAGAAGGAAGGUCCCAGUAACCCAGGCCCCCACCUAGAGCACUAAGCCUCCAGUGGCAGCAGGAACCCCUGGGCUGGCAAUGGCACUGGUCUGGAGGGUGUACCUUGUGGGCAGGGCUG
This 690-nucleotide long non-coding RNA is filed under the name Monodelphis domestica (gray short-tailed opossum). RNAcentral's name for it is "lncRNA (ENSMODG00000043269.1)". The record is from RNAcentral. Lineage: Eukaryota; Metazoa; Chordata; Mammalia; Didelphimorphia; Didelphidae.